CAAGUUCAAAAGCACACCCGAUCGAAAGACGGGGUCGCAAAGCUUCCGGCCUGACGCAUUCGUGCGAAGUGGUAGCGGGGUUGCCCAA
Molecule: regulatory RNA element, 88 nt
Organism: Rhodoferax ferrireducens T118
Lineage: Bacteria; Pseudomonadati; Pseudomonadota; Betaproteobacteria; Burkholderiales; Comamonadaceae
Rfam family: c-di-GMP-I riboswitch aptamer
About the family: GEMM was predicted in a large-scale screen for bacterial structured RNA regulatory elements. Genes associated with GEMM are involved in a diverse array of functions, including chemotaxis regulation, signal transduction, secretion and chitin.
Source: Rfam